Molecule: ribosomal RNA, 412 nt
Filed under: uncultured bacterium
Lineage: Bacteria
Description: bacterial SSU rRNA
Rfam family: Bacterial small subunit ribosomal RNA
Source: RNAcentral
GGGCCCGCACAAGCGGUGGAGCAUGUGGUUUAAUUCGAUGCAACGCGAAGAACCUUACCAGGGCUUGACAUACUACGAAUUUUCUUGAAAGAGAAAAGUGCCUUCGGGAAUGUAGAUACAGGUGGUGCAUGGCUGUCGUCAGCUCGUGUCGUGAGAUGUUGGGUUAAGUCCCGCAACGAGCGCAACCCUUAUUUUUAGUUACCAAUUCGUUGGGUUCUCUAGAAAGACUGCCGGUGACAAACCGGAGGAAGGUGAGGAUGACGUCAAGUCAGCAUGCCCCUUAUGUCCUGGGCUACACACGUGCUACAAUGGUUAAGACAAAGAGUUGCGAGCUUGUAAAAACAAGCUAAUCUCAUAAACCUAGCCUAAGUUCAGAUUGUAGGCUGCAACUCGCCUACAUGAAGUUGGAAUC